ACGCAUUCAACAGGCGGAUUCAGUGAAGGAUAAAGAUCAGAAACGAUAGGAAGGUUCGAGAUUUGUGAAAGGGAAUCUGUUUGAGUAACGAGAUCGGGAAAGUUUAAUAAAUAUUUCUUGUGUUUUCCGUUUGUUGUUGCCCUGGAAUUUGCAAUUUACGGCGCUGGAAUCUCACGAAAACCUUUGUUUUCUGUUUCGUGCCUUGUUCGAGGUUUUUUGCGUUUAAUUUUUAUAUUUUGGGGGUUCGGAAUUUGAAUUCCCAACGCUCGUGCAGGUUUGAACCUAGCGGAAGUUAAACCCUCGAAUUUCUUUACUUUUUCGAGGUUUUCAUAGCUUGCGCGGUUUUUUGUCUUUUAAUUUUUAGUCUUACUAUUGCUAUUUGAUCAAUUGAACGAGCGAUCAGUGAUGUUGAGUCAACAACAGAAGCAGCUGAUGGUGAACUUGAAUCACAAUAUGGUUAUGAAUCAGAUGGCUUUGCAGUCACAGCAGCAGAUGAUGGUGCCGGCGAAUCGAGGAUACAGUCCGUGGGCGGCGGCGGCGGCGCCGCCGCCUCAAUUUCAGAAGGCUAACUCAAACCCUGGUGCGAUGAAACCGCCGUUACCUGCUUUUAAAAAGUCGUUAGGACCGAGGAGUGACUGGAAGGGGAAGAACGUGAAGAAGGCGAACGAUAAGAGGAGAAAUGAGGUCCAGAAAUCCUUAAUUUCUGGAGAUCUUAACUUAGUCCGCGGUGGCUGCAGUGGGGGUUUAGGUAAUUUUAAUAGUUAUCAGCCUCCAAAUCUGACUGACUUGCAUCAUCAGAAUCGAGUGAAGUCUAGAAAGUUCUUUCCAAAGAAGAAAUUUAAUAAGAACAACAAUAUGAAUAUGAUGAACGUUGAAGCCAACCAGAACAGUUAUAAUAAUAGCAUGUCUGCUCCAUUAGCUCCUAGGAACACAACGUCGUUUAUAAUUAGGGCAAAAAGGAGUGGUGGUAUCGCAUCAUUGGUUUCUCCUUCUCCUAUGACGCCUGCUGUUUUACCCACACCUAUUCUUUCUCCAUCCAGGGAAGUCUUGGUGGACAUGGCAAAAGAAGAGUGGGGUGUUGAUGGAUAUGGUUCUAUGAAAGGGUUGAUUAGAUUGAGGUCUCCAGGGCAUGAGGAUGAUGCCGAAGAUGACGGGGGUUCGAGUGAGAGUGAUGUGGAAGAGCACGUCGAGGUGGAGAGGAGGUUGGACCAUGAUUUGAGCAGGUUUGAGAUGAUUUAUAAUCCUAACGAGGGUGUGGUAGAUUAUCAUAAUGUGCUCGAGAAUCGGGUGGAUGAUCAGGAUUCUCAUAUUGCUCAAUUAGAGGAUGAGAAUCUGUUGUUAAAGGGAAGAUUGUUCUUGAUGGAGAGGGAUUUGGAUGAAUUGAGGAGGAGGAUCCAGUUUCUAGAAAGGAGAAGAAACGAAGAGGAUAUGAACGAGGAAGUCGUAGAUAACGACUACGAAAAUGGAAGUGAAAAUCGUGGUGAGGAAACUCAUUCAGUCGAGGACAAUAACGAAGACUUCUGUGAAGAUAGCAUUACUCGUGACGACGGAUCUUGCAAACAGAAAAGGGUUAGUGAUAAGGAAUUUGGGUAUGGUUCUGGAACGAAUGAAAUUGUUAGAGACACUGAAGGGAUUAGUGAUAACGAGAACAAAUUCUUGGAUGGGGUAGCGAUAAAGUUGACGUGAGAAACUGAAGUUACAAAUCCUAACAUGUUUUUGAAAAGUAAUGGGCUACCAAGAACUUGAGAGAGUAUAGGAAGGAAAGACUUGAUAAUUGUCCCUUGUGAAUGAAGCAUGUGCCUGAAUGCUUGUUUGUUUCUUUACUGUAGCUAGUGUUCGAUCUUGAUCGUGUAGAUAUCUGACUUGCUUAAUAAUCUCGAAAGAAUAGGUUCUGUUGCACAAACUUUUACGGUUAUCGUCAUGUCUUCACAUGUUUCUUUUUUCUUAUGGUCAGGAUUGUACAGGUGCAGGUUGCAUCAUAUCGACUACUACUUCAGGGUUCGGUCAGUUGUUAAUGAGAUUUUCUAUAUGUAGUGUUCUUUAUUGUUUGUAAUGGAACCAUGACUUACUUAAUGAGACUUGUCUUGAUAGCCAUGCUUAAUCGUCUUUGUGUGCUUUUAUAUUCUUCUUUUUUUGUUUGCUUAAUUUUUUAUUUAGUGUAGCGAAGAAAUCUGGAGGGUCUUUCUUGCCAGAUCAAGAUUUGGUUUGAAAUGAAGUUGAUCUGCAGUUAGUUCAUUAAAACCAUUCUAUCCAAGUCUCCUACUCCUGCAUUCAUGAGAUGGGAAAGCCCAACAUUAGUCGUUUACUUGAUUCGAUAUGUGCUUCUUUCUACAGCCGGUUUGUUGCAGAAGCUGCGUCGUCCGAUAUACUCUGAUGAUGUGAAUAUGAGGUACGAAUUGAUGAUACAUCUAUGGGCAGGGGCAGGGGCAGGGGCAGUCGAUCAUCUUUGAAUUUAUGGGGAAGUUUGUUCAGUUCAAGAAUUGGGUUAUUUGCAGCAGCUUCUAGAGUGAAUGGUUUUUGGUCUUUUUUAUUUUCUUACAUACCAUAAUUAUAAUGUGGGGAUGACGAUGCUGAUUGAUAUUAAAAAAUCAGUACCAACACAACAACAAAUUCUGUGAAUUGACAACUUGUCAUCAAUUUAGAGAGAUUGUAUUAAUACAAUGGAAGAUAUUUCUUUCGUA
RNA transcript from Andrographis paniculata, 2681 nucleotides. RefSeq lists it as uncharacterized. Lineage: Eukaryota; Viridiplantae; Streptophyta; Magnoliopsida; Lamiales; Acanthaceae. The record is from RefSeq and is a predicted model, not a curated record. The transcript is spliced from 3 exons.